Molecule: long non-coding RNA, 617 nt
Filed under: Ananas comosus (pineapple)
Lineage: Eukaryota; Viridiplantae; Streptophyta; Magnoliopsida; Poales; Bromeliaceae
Description: long non-coding RNA (ACOM_LNC002514)
Source: RNAcentral
AAUAAUUCACCCUUUUUUCUUAAGUUAGUAUUAUUUACCAUUUUUUUUCUUUAAAAAUAACAUGAUAAAUUAUUCACCGUUUUUUUUUUAUUUUCUAUAUAAAAUUCUAAUAAUCAGAUAAAAGUUUUAAUAAAUUAUAUAAAAUCUAAAGAUCAAUUUAUACAAUACUAACAAUCAAAUAAAAAUUUCAGUAAUCUACAUACAAUACUAACAAUCUCACAAAAGUACAAAAUUCAACUUUCACAUCCUGCCCCUGCAAAAGCUCUGAUAUUUUCAAAUAUAUCUUUAUCGUUAAGAUCCGUUAGAAAAAAUUAGUUAACUAUAGAUAAAAUACUUAACUCUAGUUAAUUAAUGAGAUGAAUUGAUAUUUUUACCUCUCUUCAAUUAAUAGUUGAGACUUUUGGAGGGACAUAUUUGUGAUGAUAAAAAAGUUAUUUUACUUAUAAAAUAAACAGUGCUUUAAUGAUAACAAAGCAGAGAGCCAUAUUUGAAAAUAUUAUAACUUUUAUAGGGAUAAUAUAUAAAAGUUGAACUUUGUAGAAUAUAUUUAUAAUUCACUAUGUUUACAUGAAUCUGUAUGAAGUUAAUCCUUAUAAAUAAAUAAAUCGCUACAUAUA